GAUGAAGAACGCAGCGAAAUGCGAUAAGUAAUGUGAAUUGCAGAAUUCAGUGAAUCAUCGAAUCUUUGAACGCACAUUGCGCCCGCCAGUAUUCUGGCGGGCAUGCCUGUUCGAGCGUCAUUUCAACCAUCAAGCCCCCGGCUUGUGUUGGGGACCUGCGGCUGCCGCAGGCCCUGAAAACCAGUGGCGGGCUCGCUAGUCACUCCGAGCGUAGUAGUUACAUCUCGCUCAGGGCGUGCUGCGGGUUCCGGCCGUUAAAAGCCUUAUUUACCCAAGGUUGACCUCGGAUCAGGUAGGAAGACCCGCUGAACUUAAGCAUAUCAAUAAGCGGAGA
RNAcentral lists this unclassified non-coding RNA (334 nucleotides) under soil metagenome. Its description in RNAcentral is "partial contains 5.8S ribosomal RNA, internal transcribed spacer 2, and large subunit ribosomal RNA". The stretch from base 1 to 120 matches the Rfam family "5.8S ribosomal RNA", at positions 35 to 154 of the family's 154-position model. The record is from RNAcentral.